This 71-nucleotide transfer RNA is filed under the name Acanthamoeba polyphaga. RNAcentral describes it as "tRNA-Trp". It matches the Rfam family "tRNA". Rfam says of the family: Transfer RNA (tRNA) molecules are approximately 80 nucleotides in length. Their secondary structure includes four short double-helical elements and three loops (D, anti-codon, and T loops). Further hydrogen bonds mediate the characteristic L-shaped molecular structure. tRNAs have two regions of fundamental functional importance: the anti-codon, which is responsible for specific mRNA codon recognition, and the 3' end, to which the tRNAs corresponding amino acid is attached (by aminoacyl-tRNA synthetases). tRNAs cope with the degeneracy of the genetic code in two manners: having more than one tRNA (with a specific anti-codon) for a particular amino acid; and 'wobble' base-pairing, i.e. permitting non-standard base-pairing at the 3rd anti-codon position. The record is from RNAcentral. Lineage: Eukaryota; Discosea; Longamoebia; Acanthamoebidae.
GUGGGGGUAGUUUAAGGGUAAAAUGUUAUCCUCCAAAGUUAAAGAUAAAGGUUCGAGUCCUUUCCCCCCUG